CCUCUGGACCAAGGAAGGAGGAGCACGGAGCUGCGCCCGCUGUCCCCGCCGUCCUCACCAAAGGACGCCAGGACGGAGGUGUUGCGGUCGAGGUGGGAGCCUCCAGCUUGUGCUGCUCCACGCGAGUAGAAGCAGUGCUCCAUGGGCAAGGCGGCUGAUGCAGAGAGAGGAGAGGAGAUGAAGCAACGCCGUCUCGUCAUCGCCGGGAGUAGUUUGGCCUCACGCCGCCGUGCUGUCGCCCGGAGCAACGCUACCUCGCACCGCUGAUGUAGCCCCCAAUCUCAGUCUCCACCGGACCCGAGCAACAGUGAGGGGAGCGGCGCCGUCGGCGGCCUCAUACCUCACCGUCCCAGCUGACGAUUCGAGGUGACGGCCAUUAUGCUUACUCUCCUUCUCGAUCCCGUAGUUUUUUCGAUUUUCUUUUCUUCUAUUAUCUUGAGGGAAACCCUACCUCUUUUGAGGGAAACCCUAGCUCUAAUUUCCUUCUUAACAGAAACCUGCUACACGUUUACUUGUUGAAGACAACGGUCAGAGAAGAAGAUGCUGACAUGGAAUUAGAUGGUACAAAUUUAUGAAAAAUUUGGCACAUCGGUAUAGAUCUGGAGAAGGCUGGUUUGAAUACAUGUAGUGCUUGAAUUUGUCUUCUGGGCUUAUUUUAUCCUCCAAACGAUAUUCGAGCCAGUCAGGUUCGACAACUAUGGCAGCGGCAACCAUGUGUUCGAUUUGUUGGCUUCAGGCAUGGCACCUCGGCCCGGAGAUCAAUGGUGAUGAGGAGCAGGUGCAGUCAUCUUUGCGGCACUUGCGCUGAUCCGACAGUGAGGCACGUUCAGCCAGGACCAAGAGACGGGAGGCUGCAGGGCUCUGCCUCCUCCAACCCCACCCUCAUCGGCGCCCAUGGAGGUUCAUGGAGAACACUAGGUGGAUUUGCUCGCAGUUUUGGACAUGGACCUCAUCUGUAAGGUAAGGAUUUAAAGUGGGCCGCAUGAUACCGUCAGAUGUACUAAUAAUCUCUAAGGUGGUCUCAUUAUGCGAUUCUAAGUGCACUAUGUUUCUCAGUUUGUAAGUACGACUCCAUCAAUCCAAAAGACGUGCACAGUUACAUGAUAGGGUUCUUGCUAUCCAUGAUGUUUCUCUUCCAGGUCAGACGAAUGCUAAGAUUAGUGCGCAACUUGACGUUGAGACAGAGACAAGAUGGUAACUCUAAAUAUCUGAGACCGGUUAGCACCUACAGUGCUAUGUUCUGAUUAUUGUACAUGUCUAUUACUGUAGGCAACUUGACUUUGAGACAAACACAAGAUGGUUCAGGUUCUAAUAAAUAUUUGCCUUGGUCAAAGCAAAGCAGUUACAAAGUUGAUACCCAUUUUGCUAGAAUAUCCAGCUUCGGU
Lolium rigidum is the source of this 1385-nucleotide long non-coding RNA. RefSeq lists it as uncharacterized. The record is from RefSeq and is a predicted model, not a curated record. Lineage: Eukaryota; Viridiplantae; Streptophyta; Magnoliopsida; Poales; Poaceae. The transcript is spliced from 6 exons.